This 419-nucleotide ribosomal RNA is filed under the name uncultured bacterium. Its description in RNAcentral is "bacterial SSU rRNA". It matches the Rfam family "Bacterial small subunit ribosomal RNA", at positions 355 to 787 of the family's 1533-position model. The record is from RNAcentral.
UGGGGAAUAUUGGGCAAUGGGCGCAAGCCUGACCCAGCAACGCCGCGUGAAGGAAGAAGGCUUUCGGGUUGUAAACUUCUUUUAAGAGGGACGAAGGAGGUGACGGUACCUCUUGAAUAAGCCACGGCUAACUACGUGCCAGCAGCCGCGGUAAUACGUAGGUGGCAAGCGUUAUCCGGAUUUAUUGGGUGUAAAGGGCGUGUAGGCGGGACUGCAAGUCAGAUGUGAAAAUCUCAGGGCUCAACCCUGAGCCUGCAUUUGAAACUGUAGUUCUUGAGUGCUGGAGAGGCAAUCGGAAUUCCGUGUGUAGCGGUGAAAUGCGUAGAUAUACGGAGGAACACCAGUGGCGAAGGCGGAUUGCUGGACAGUAACUGACGCUGAGGCGCGAAAGCGUGGGGAGCAAACAGGAUUAGAUACCC